Molecule: ribosomal RNA, 254 nt
Filed under: uncultured bacterium
Lineage: Bacteria
Description: partial 16S ribosomal RNA
Rfam family: Bacterial small subunit ribosomal RNA
Source: RNAcentral
UACGGAGGGAGCUAGCGUUAUUCGGAAUUACUGGGCGUAAAGCGCACGUAGGCGGCUUUGUAAGUUAGAGGUGAAAGCCUGGAGCUCAACUCCAGAAUUGCCUUUAAGACUGCAUCGCUUGAAUCCAGGAGAGGUGAGUGGAAUUCCGAGUGUAGAGGUGAAAUUCGUAGAUAUUCGGAAGAACACCAGUGGCGAAGGCGGCUCACUGGACUGGUAUUGACGCUGAGGUGCGAAAAGCGUGGGGAGCAAACAGG